GCCUGGGUGGCUCAGUCGGUUAAGCGUCUGACUUCCACUUGGGUCAUGGUUCGUGGGUUCGAGCCCCGCAUCGGGCU
RNAcentral lists this transfer RNA (77 nucleotides) under Felis catus (domestic cat). It matches the Rfam family "tRNA". Rfam says of the family: Transfer RNA (tRNA) molecules are approximately 80 nucleotides in length. Their secondary structure includes four short double-helical elements and three loops (D, anti-codon, and T loops). The record is from Rfam by way of RNAcentral. Lineage: Eukaryota; Metazoa; Chordata; Mammalia; Carnivora; Felidae.